Cannabis sativa is the source of this 350-nucleotide long non-coding RNA. RefSeq lists it as uncharacterized. Lineage: Eukaryota; Viridiplantae; Streptophyta; Magnoliopsida; Rosales; Cannabaceae. The transcript is spliced from 2 exons. The record is from RefSeq and is a predicted model, not a curated record.
AACUCAAAUUUUCUUACUCUCUCUCUCUUCCCUUCGAGCCUAGCAAGAACCCACCAAAAUAUUAGGAUUUUGGUUUGAUUUUAAAGAGAUCAUAGUUGAAUCUAAGUGGUGUAAAUCAAAGGUACAGGAAAGGCGAAGGCUGAACAGGAGUGAGCUCCAAGCUUAGAUGGUGAUUAUACAUGUCAGGACGGGCGACUUGGGGUGUUCGAUCUCGGGACAUCUUGGGCAGUAUUUUGCAGUCGCUCUGCGACAUGUUGGUAAAAAUAUUUUGGCUAUGUUUGUAAAAGUUUAAACUCGAGAUCGCGAUUAUGUAAAUAUAAGUAUUUAUAAAGUUUGAUAAUUUUAGGUGA